Molecule: ribosomal RNA, 404 nt
Filed under: Fusobacteriota bacterium
Lineage: Bacteria; Fusobacteriati; Fusobacteriota
Description: Fusobacteria bacterium partial 16S ribosomal RNA
Rfam family: Bacterial small subunit ribosomal RNA
Source: RNAcentral
UGGGGAAUAUUGCACAAUGGAGGGAACUCUGAUGCAGCGACGCCGCGUGAGUGAUGAAGGAAUUCGUUUCGUAAAACUCUGUUCUAUGGGAAGAAAAGGACUGUACCAUAGGAGAAAGCUCCGGCUAAAUACGUGCCAGCAGCCGCGGUAAUACGUAUGGAGCGAGCGUUGUCCGGAAUUAUUGGGCGUAAAGGGUGCGCAGGCGGCUUUACAAGUUGGAUGUGAAAUAUUGUGGCUCAACCACAAACGUGCAUCCAAAACUGCAAAGCUUGAGUUAAGGAGAGGUAAGUGGAAUUCCUGGUGUAGCGGUGGAAUGCGUAGAUAUCAGGAGGAAUACCGGUGGCGAAGGCGACUUACUGGACUUAAACUGACGCUCAGGCACGAAAGCGUGAGGAGCAAACAGG